AUAAUUUUGAGCUUAAUGUUACAUCUCUCAAAUAACUAGGUGCAUAUAUAAUUCUUUUGGUGGUAUUUAUUUUAGAUAGUUGAAGAUAUUUUUGCAUGUUGAAGAAUCAUUAGCAUAAAUUUUUUUGCCUUGAAGAUCCAAGAUAAAUAUCAAGCUUGCUCAAUUUCAGCCUAACAAAUGUCAAUUCUCUUGUUCUAAGCUUCUAUUUGCUUUUACUGAAUAGAUAUUUUACCCAUGAAGUAUUAUAUUUGAGCCUCCAUCUGAGUUGACAUUGCUAUAUCUUCCAUACAUCAAUUUUCUUAUUAGACUCUACUAUCUUAAUGCUUUCUUUUUUUUCUAGUUCAUUUCUUAAAAGUAACUUGUGAUAGCCAUAAAAUAGUAUCCA
RNAcentral lists this long non-coding RNA (385 nucleotides) under Physcomitrium patens. RNAcentral describes it as "long non-coding RNA (PPAT_LNC005843)". The record is from RNAcentral. Lineage: Eukaryota; Viridiplantae; Streptophyta; Bryopsida; Funariales; Funariaceae.